RNAcentral lists this ribosomal RNA (1397 nucleotides) under uncultured bacterium. RNAcentral's name for it is "16S ribosomal RNA". It matches the Rfam family "Bacterial small subunit ribosomal RNA". The record is from RNAcentral.
UUCGCCCUUAGAGUUUGCUCUUGGGUCAGGACGAACGCUGGCGGCGUGCUUAACACAUGCAAGUCGAGCGGGGAUCUUGGUGGAAGUUCUUCGGAACGGAAGGUAAGAUUCUAGCGGCGGACGGGUGAGUAACGCGUGAGCAAUCUGUCCCAGACAGGGGGAUAACACUUGGAAACAGGUGCUAAUACCGCAUAAGACCACGGUAUCGCAUGGUACUGAGGUAAAAGAAAUUCGGUUUGGGGUGAGCUCGCGUCCGAUUAGCUAGUUGGUGAGGUAACGGCCCACCAAGGCGACGAUCGGUAGCCGACCUGAGAGGGUGAUCGGCCACAUUGGAACUGAGACACGGUCCAAACUCCUACGGGAGGCAGCAGUGGGGAAUAUUGGGCAAUGGGGGAAACCCUGACCCAGCAACGCCGCGUGAAGGAAGAAGGCUUUCGGGUUGUAAACUUCUUUUAGCAGGGACGAAGGACGUGACGGUACCUGCAGAAAAAGCGACGGCUAACUACGUGCCAGCAGCCGCGGUAAUACGUAGGUCGCAAGCGUUGUCCGGAUUUACUGGGUGUAAAGGGCGUGUAGGCGGAGAUGCAAGUCAGGUGUGAAAUCCCGGGGCUCAACCCCGGAACUGCACUUGAAACUGUAUCCCUUGAGUAUCGGAGAGGCAAGCGGAAUUCCUAGUGUAGCGGUGAAAUGCGUAGAUAUUAGGAGGAACACCAGUGGCGAAGGCGGCUUGCUGGACGACAACUGACGCUGAGGCGCGAAAGCGUGGGGAGCAAACAGGAUUAGAUACCCUGGUAGUCCACGCUGUAAACGAUGAAUAGUAGGUGUGGGAGGACUGACCCCUUCCGUGCCGCAGUUAACACAAUAAGUAUUCCACCUGGGGAGUACGACCGCAAGGUUGAAACUCAAAGGAAUAGACGGGGGCCCGUACAAGCAGUGGAUUAUGUGGUUUAAUUCGACGCAACGCGAAGAACCUUACCAGGAUUUGACAUCCAACUAACGAAGUAGAGAUACAUUAGGUGCCCUUCGGGGAAAGUUGAGACAGGUGGUGCAUGGUUGUCGUCAGCUCGUGUCGUGAGAUGUUGGGUUAAGUCCCGCAACGAGCGCAACCCCUAUUGUUAGUUGCUACGCAAGAGCACUCUAGCGAGACUGCCGUUGACAAAACGGAGGAAGGCGGGGACGACGUCAAAUCAUCAUGCCCCUUAUGUCCUGGGCUACACACGUAAUACAAUGGCCGUCAACAAAGGGAAGCAAAGCCGCGAGGUGGAGCAAAUCCCCAAAAACGGUCUCAGUUCGGAGUGCAGGCUGCAACUCGCCUGCAUGAAGCUGGAAUUGCUAGUAAUCGCGGAUCAGCAUGCCGCGGUGAAUACAAUGCCGGGCCUUGCACUCACCGCCCGUCA